Molecule: ribosomal RNA, 506 nt
Filed under: uncultured bacterium
Lineage: Bacteria
Description: partial 16S ribosomal RNA
Rfam family: Bacterial small subunit ribosomal RNA
Source: RNAcentral
AUUGAACGCUGGCGGCAGGCCUAACACAUGCAAGUCGAGCGGCAGCGGAAAGUAGCUUGCUACUUUGCCGGCGAGCGGCGGACGGGUGAGUAAUGUCUGGGAAACUGCCUGAUGGAGGGGGAUAACUACUGGAAACGGUAGCUAAUACCGCAUAACGUCGCAAGACCAAAGAGGGGGACCUUCGGGCCUCUUGCCAUCAGAUGUGCCCAGAUGGGAUUAGCUAGUAGGUGGGGUAAUGGCUCACCUAGGCGACGAUCCCUAGCUGGUCUGAGAGGAUGACAAGCAACACUGGAACUGAGACACGGUCCAGACGCCUACGGGAGGCAGCAGUGGGGAAUAGUGCACAAUGGGCGCAAGCCUGAUGCAGCCAUGCCGCGUGUAUGAAGAAGGCCUUCGGGUUGUAAAGUACUGUCAGCGGGGAGGAAGGUGCUGAGGUUAAUAACCUCAGCAAUUGACGUUACCCGCAGAAGAAGCACCGGCUAACUCCGUGCCAGCCGCCGCAGUAA